This 430-nucleotide ribosomal RNA is filed under the name uncultured bacterium. Its description in RNAcentral is "bacterial SSU rRNA". It matches the Rfam family "Bacterial small subunit ribosomal RNA", at positions 71 to 509 of the family's 1533-position model. The record is from RNAcentral.
CCUGGGUGCUUGCACCUGGGGGAUUAGUGGCGAAUGGGUGAGUAACACGUGAGCAAUCUGCCCCGGACUCUGGGAUAAGCGCUGGAAACGGCGUCUAAUACUGGAUAUGACGCGCGAAGGCAUCUUCUGCGUGUGGAAAGUUUUUCGGUUCGGGAUGAGCUCGCGGCCUAUCAGCUUGUUGGUGAGGUAAUGGCUCACCAAGGCGACGACGGGUAGCCGGCCUGAGAGGGUGACCGGCCACACUGGGACUGAGACACGGCCCAGACUCCUACGGGAGGCAGCAGUGGGGAAUAUUGCACAAUGGGCGCAAGCCUGAUGCAGCAACGCCGCGUGGGGGAUGACGGCCUUCGGGUUGUAAACCUCUUUUAGCAGGGAAGAAGCCUUUCGGGGUGACGGUACCUGCAGAAAAAGCACCGGCUAACUACGUGCC